RNAcentral lists this ribosomal RNA (401 nucleotides) under uncultured bacterium. RNAcentral describes it as "bacterial SSU rRNA". It matches the Rfam family "Bacterial small subunit ribosomal RNA", at positions 29 to 416 of the family's 1533-position model. The record is from RNAcentral.
AGCGAACGUUAGCGGCGCGCUUAACACAUGCAAGUCGCACGAGAAAGGGCUUCGGCCCCGGUAAAGUGGCGCACGGGUGCGUAACACGUAGGCAAUCUUCCCUUGAGCGGGGGAUAACGUUUCGAAAGAGACGCUAAUACCGCAUAAGACCACGACCGGUUCGCCGGUUGCGGUCAAAGCUGGCCUCUUCUUGAAAGCUAGCACUUAAGGACGAGCCUGCGGCCCAUCAUGCUAGUUGGAGUGUAAUGGACUACCAAGGCGAAGACGGGUAGCUGGUCUGGGAGGAUGACCAGCCACACUGGAACUGAAACACGGUCCAGACUCCUGCGGGAGGCAGCAGUGGGAAUAUUGGACAAUGGGCGAAAGCCUGAUCCAGCGACGCCGCGUGAGUGAUGAAGGCC